GAAGCUGGAAUCGCUAGUAAUCGCGAAUCAGAAUGUCGCGGUGAAUACGUUCCCGGGUCUUGUACACACCGCCCGUCCACACCAUGGGAGUCGGAUAUGCCCGAAGUCAGUGACCCAACCAUAUGGAGGGAGCUGCCGAAGGUGGAGCCGAUAACUGGGGUGAAGUCGUAACAAGGUAUC
Molecule: ribosomal RNA, 180 nt
Filed under: uncultured bacterium
Lineage: Bacteria
Description: partial 16S ribosomal RNA
Rfam family: Bacterial small subunit ribosomal RNA
Source: RNAcentral